Molecule: ribosomal RNA, 484 nt
Filed under: uncultured bacterium
Lineage: Bacteria
Description: partial 16S ribosomal RNA
Rfam family: Bacterial small subunit ribosomal RNA
Source: RNAcentral
AUUGAACGCUGGCGGAAUGCUUUACACAUGCAAGUCGAGCGGCAGCGCGGCCUUCGGGCUGGCGGCGAGCGGCGAACGGGUGAGUAAUGCAUCGGAACAUGCCCAGUCGUGGGGGAUAACACUUCGAAAGAAGAGCUAAUACCGCAUACGUCCUGAGGGGGAAAGCGGGGGAUCGCAAGACCUCGCGCGAUUGGAGUGGCCGAUGUCAGAUUAGCUAGUUGGUGGGGUAAAGGCCUACCAAGGCGACGAUCUGUAGCUGGUCUGAGAGGAUGAUCAGCCACACUGGGACUGAGACACGGCCCAGACUCCUACGGGAGGCAGCAGUGGGGAAUUUUGGACAAUGGGGGCAACCCUGAUCCAGCCAUUCCGCGUGAGUGAAGAAGGCCUUCGGGUUGUAAAGCUCUUUCGGCAGGAACGAAACGGUGGGCUCUAACAUAGUCCGCUAAUGACGGUACCUGAAGAAGAAGCACCGGCUAACUACGUG